This 475-nucleotide long non-coding RNA is filed under the name Parus major (Great Tit). RNAcentral's name for it is "lncRNA (ENSPMJG00000013866.1)". The record is from RNAcentral. Lineage: Eukaryota; Metazoa; Chordata; Aves; Passeriformes; Paridae.
AGAAAUAAUUAGCCCAGCUGGACGUUGAACACAGGAUCUUGGCUUUCUCAGGACCCUGCUCCAAGCACCUGAGCCAAUCUCAGCCCCUGCAAUGGCUGUAGGAUGGAACUAGCUGGCACCUAACAUGACAGCUGGCACUUCCUGGGAGUGGUGGCAAAGGCUGUUUGCAGAGGGGCUCAGGCAGCAACUCCCGGUUCUGAGCUCCCACACAGCUGCCAGGUGUGUCCUGGUCACCCCAAAUCCCCUCCCUUCCAGCCUGAGGACAUCAUCCAUCAGCAGCAUUAAAGCCAAGGGAAAAGAACUUGCAGAGACCACUGCUGAGGCUCUGAAAGGAGCUGAGCUUCCACAGGUAGAGAUGUUCCCUCUGGGCACAGGGGCUGCCUCAGCAAGGGCUUGGGAGCACAUCCAGCCACCACCUUCUCCUGCUUUAAAACAUCAACUGGAGCCUGAAUUCCAGGGGGGUGAAAUCAGCUGA